RNAcentral lists this ribosomal RNA (363 nucleotides) under Simulium damnosum. RNAcentral's name for it is "partial large subunit ribosomal RNA". The record is from RNAcentral. Lineage: Eukaryota; Metazoa; Arthropoda; Insecta; Diptera; Simuliidae.
AGAUACAAGCUGUGUCAUAAAAGUUAAAAUUUGAAUUUAUCUUUUUAGUUAAAAGACUAAAAUAAAAUUAAAAGACGAGAAGACCCUAUAGAGCUUUAUAUAAUUAAUAUUUAAAUUAUUAAGAUUUUUUAAAUUAAAAUAUUAUUUUAUAUUUUGUUGGGGUGACAAUAAAAUUUAUAAAACUUUUAUUUUUAUUACACAUUAAUUUAUGAAUAAAUGAUCCAGUUUUAUUGAUUAUAAAUUUAAGUUACCUUAGGGAUAACAGCGUAAUUUUUUUUGAGAGUUCUUAUCGACAAAAAAGAUUGCGACCUCGAUGUUGGAUUAAGAGUAAUUUUGGGUGUAGAAGUUCAAAGUUUAAGUCUG